Molecule: non-coding RNA, 465 nt
Organism: Castor canadensis (American beaver)
Lineage: Eukaryota; Metazoa; Chordata; Mammalia; Rodentia; Castoridae
Source: the annotation of a RefSeq genome assembly
AGGCAGCCAGUUUGAGCCUUAGGGAGCAGCAUGAGGAUCUCUCCCACUAUGUCCUGGACUCCCCUCCUCUUCAGCUUCCUCUUUCACUGUACAGGUUCUGUAGCCUCUUAUGUGCUGACUCAGCCAUCCUCAGCGUCAGUGACACUGGGACAGAUGGCCAGGAUCGCCUGUGGGGGAAACGGCAUUGCAAACAAAUAUGUGCAGUGGUACCAGCAGAAGCCAGGACAGGCCCCAGUGCUGGUCAUCUAUGGUGAUAGUAGCCAGCCCUCAGGCAUCCCUGACAGGUUCUCUGGCUCCAACUCAGGGAACACAGCCACACUGACCAUCAGCAGUACCCAGGCUGAGGAUGAGGCUGAUUAUUACUGCCAGGUGUGGGACAGCAGCAGUGAUGCUCACAGUGACACAGACACAUGGGGAAGUGAGAUAAAACCUGCCACCAGCCUGGCUCCCACAGCCCCUCCUUAG